Molecule: non-coding RNA, 2562 nt
Organism: Leptonychotes weddellii (Weddell seal)
Lineage: Eukaryota; Metazoa; Chordata; Mammalia; Carnivora; Phocidae
Source: RefSeq, a predicted model, not a curated record
UGACCAGAUACCGAGUCUGGACGGGAGAGUGGCUGGUGGGGCCGGCAGGGUGAAGGGGCCUCGGGCGUGAAGGCGUGGCCGGGCGUUGGGCGGAGCCGGAUGUUGGAGUGGAGGCGUGGUCCGGGCGUGGGGCGGGGCCCGGUGGGCCGAACACCGCCCCUCUCCCCACCCCCCGGGCUCGCCAACGCGGGACGCUCUAGGAGGCCAGCGGGUGCCGCUCCUUCAGCUUCCGGGCUAACUCGGAGUCCGUCAAGACUUUCUGGCUCAUGACCGUCGGCACCACCUUGGGGUUCACGGAGUUUACCCGGAUCCAGGGCCCCGGGGUCGAAGUGGGCCUCAGCAGGGCCCCCCUCCCAUGCCCACCUUGUAUGGCCCCAGCUCUGCGGCUAUGACUUUGGGGUGCACCGGGUGAGCAGAUGGCCCAGUACAUCUGGGUCAAGGCUGAGGACCGAGGCUACAUCCCCUUCUGCUCGGAAAAGAGCAGUGAGAGGGUGCUGGGCAGAGAAUGGACACCAGGGGGGAUCUGCUGCCCUCCUCACCACAACCCAAAGGUGCUGGCCAAAAAUUCCACCCUGAAUUUUGGAAAAGGAAAUAAAAAUAAACCCUGGACUGGGGGGCAUGCCGCUUCUUGGCUGGCUGGGGACAGAUGGCCUGGAGCUGGACCCUGCAUGAUAGCAAAGACGCACUGGGCUUGAGGCUGGUCUCCCACCCCGCUGACCCUACUCCACCAUGGCCCCAGUCUGGGGACCACGGCAGCUCCAGAGUCUUCCUCACGCGCCCCUGGCCAGCCUAGGACUCCUGUCCCUCGGGCCUCCAAGCACAGUGAUCAGCCCUGUGCACAGGUGUGGCUGCCCUGAGGUGCCCUCAUUCCUCUCAGGGGUGGCUCUGGGGUGGGGGGGGUCCUCUCCUUCCCCAGCUGUCCCCUUUUGGUUCCCUUCCCUCCCCCUUUUGGAACUUCAUCUCAGCACAGAUCGGUGGACUCUUCGCCGUGGCAAAGGACUCACUGUGGAUUUCUCCUUCGUGCCACUGAUGCUCGUGGAUUCUGAUGGUUCCUGGCGUCCAGUUGCUUUGUGUUUGCAGUGAGAGCACGUGGCCUGAGACCCUGCCCCACAGCGUCCUGGGAGGACUGUCCACGGCUCGGCGCAUCCCUGCAGGUCACUCACUCCUCUUGCCUGAACAGGUAGCGAAAGGGUCCAGUCCAGGCUCACCUGUGGCUUGGGAUGGCCCGUCUCUCUCGUCUCCCUCUCCCCAGAACACUCCUCAGUCUUUCCUUGACCUUUAUGACCUUGGCAUUUCUGGAGCCUGGAAGUCAGUUCUUUUGUAGAACGCCUGUCAGCUGGGCCUUGCCCAGUGUUCCCUCGUGGUGAGGGGCUGCAUGUCUCUGUCCGCGGCGCCAGGGAAGGGCGCCGUGUCUCACAGCACGCCGUCAGCUGGUGCCGCGCGAACCCGUCUCACCGCCGGUGAUGUUAGCUCUGAUGGAGGGAUGUCAGCUGUGACCACCUCAGGCACUGCAUUGUCCUUCUGCUUCGCAUCUGUCCUCCGAACCGCGGGCGAGACGUCUCCUGUGGCUCGGGUCCGCCAUGCACGGCGUCCGCCCACCCGAUGCAAACCCGCCACAGUGCAUCGGACUUAGCUUCCCAGUAAAGCCAGUAGCAAAAUCAGACGUAAUUCAGCCAACUGCACAACCAGCCACGCACUCCCUGAGAUGCCGGAACCCAAGCUCAGAAGCCCAGGGUGAGGGCGCUUGCACCCCAGGGCAGCCCGUGAAGGGGCUUCCAUGCCCCGAUCAGGGCUGAUGGAGCAAAGACUUGCCAAGUGCCUGGCACCGGCCCCAGGGCCCCUGACACGGACUCCCCACAGUCUCCGAGAGGAAGAUCACCGAACGACAUGCGUAACCACCGCAGGCCGGCUUGGGCUCUGGGCUUGGGAUGCAUGUGGCAGACCCACCACGGAAAGGGGCAUGAAACAGGCCGCAGGAAGGGUGUGAUCCAGGCUGUGGCAGGCCGCCGGUGCGGGGACCCCCCACCCAAGGUGGGGGGCCAGGAGCAGGCGCUCACCUGCAUUGCACCAGCUUGCUUGGUGAACCCCCAGCCCUCUUAGACUGUGUUUAGUGGAGAGUUAACUACAGAGGGGUCUGGCCCUUGUCUCUGCUCCUGGGACAGGAUCUCUGGGCCCCUGCCAUGUCCCGCCUGACAGGCGUGUGUCGGCUCGCCUGGGGGCCUGGGCACAGGGUAGUCUCAGGUGUGAUUUAUGCUGGGGGUUUCAGGAUACGUUGUAUCGGGCCUGAUCUCUGGGGGGGCCUGGCGUCUAAAGGUCGGCCAGCCACACGGGCAGUAGGUGAUAGAACCCCCCAAACUCCUGGACACCAAAGGUUCAGGCAAGCUUCCUGGUUGGGGAUAUUUCAUGAGUGUUGUCACGGGUCAGUACUCCGGGAGGGGAGAGACAGUGGGCAAGUUGGCCUCUCCCGGGUGCCGCCCUCUGUCUCUCCCUUUGGUGAUUUUCCUUAUCCAUUUGCUGUAAGAAAACUGUAAUCCUAAGUAUAGCACCUUCUUGACUUCUGUA